Molecule: small nuclear RNA, 104 nt
Organism: Vulpes vulpes (red fox)
Lineage: Eukaryota; Metazoa; Chordata; Mammalia; Carnivora; Canidae
Source: Ensembl
GUGCUUGCAUUGCAGCAUAUAAACUAAAAUUGAAAUGAUGCAGAGAAGAUUAACAUGGUCCUUGUGCAAGGAUGACACAAAUUUAUGAAGUGUUCCAUAUUAUU